GACGAACGCUGGCGGCGUGCUUAACACAUGCAAGUCGAACGGAAAGGCCCUUUGCUUGCAAGGGGUACUCGAGUGGCGAACGGGUGAGUAACACGUGGGUGAUCUGCCUUGCACUUCCGGAUAAGCCUGGGAAACUGGGUCUAAUACCGGAUAGGACCAUGCUUUAGUGUGUGUGGUGGAAAGUUUUUUCGGUGCAAGAUGAGCCCGCGGCCUAUCAGCUUGUUGGUGGGGUAAUGGCCUACCAAGGCGACUACGGGUAGCCGGCCUGAGAGGGUGUACGGCCACAUUGGGACUGAUACACCGCCCACACUCCUACGGGAGGCAGCACUGGGGAAUAUUGCACAAUGGGCGCACGCCUGAUGCACCGACUCCCCGCGGGGGAUGACGGCCUUCCGGUUGCAAACUCCUUUCUCCUCGGAACAAGCCACUGUGCGGCGACGGCCCCUGCAUAAGAAGCACCGCCUAACUACGUGUCAGCAUCCGCCGUACUACCUAACGCGCGAGCGUUGUCCCUAAUUACUGGAGCUACAGAGCUCGAAUGUGGUUUGUCGCGUCGUCUGUGAAUCCCGGGGCUUAACUUCGGGCGUGCAGGCGAUACGGGCAUAACUAGAGUGCUGUAGGGGAGACUGGAAUUCCUGGUGUAGCGGUGAAAUGCGCAGAUAUCAGGAGGAACACCGAUGGCGAAGGCAGGUCUCUGGGCAGUUACUGACGCUGAGGAGCGAAAGCAUGGGUAGCGAACAGGAUUAGAUACCCUGGUAGUCCAUGCCGUAAACGGUGGGCGCUAGGUGUGGGGGUUUUAUUUACGAUUCCCGUGCCGUAGCUAACGCAUUAAGCGCCCCGCCUGGGGAGUACGGCCGCAAGGCUAAAACUCAAAGGAAUUGACGGGGGCCCGCACAAGCGGCGGAGCAUGUGGAUUAAUUCGAUGCAACGCGAAGAACCUUACCUGGGCUUGACAUACACCGGAUCGCUGCAGAGAUGUAGUUUCCCUUGUGGCUGGUGUACAGGUGGUGCAUGGUUGUCGUCAGCUCGUGUCGUGAGAUGUUGGGUUAAGUCCCGCAACGAGCGCAACCCUUGUCUUGUGUUGCCAGCACGUUACGGUGGGGACUCGCGAGAGACUGCCGGGGUUAACUCGGAGGAAGGUGGGGAUGACGUCAAAUCAUCAUGCCCCUUAUGUCCAGGGCUUCACACAUGCUACAAUGGUCGGUACAGUGGGUUGCGAUACCGUGAGGUGGAGCUAAUCCCUUAAAGCCGGUCUCAGUUCGGAUUGGAGUCUGCAACUCGACUCCAUGAAGUCGGAGUCGCUAGUAAUCGCAGAUCAGCAACGCUGCGGUGAAUACGUUCCCGGGCCU
Molecule: ribosomal RNA, 1349 nt
Filed under: uncultured bacterium
Lineage: Bacteria
Description: bacterial SSU rRNA
Rfam family: Bacterial small subunit ribosomal RNA
Source: RNAcentral